ACCACAUCUCCAGGGGGCAUUUGGCAGCUGGGGAGAAAGGGAUUUCCAGCCUCCUAGCCAUUUAAUUUUGCAGAAUGAGUAUUCUUUCCAAAAGUUGGGUAUUCUCAAGUGUGCGGAUAAAGCAUGGGGGUCCACAGUACAAUCCAGACUUUUAGGAAAUGGAUAUGCCUCUUUUUGGCUCCAUAGCUGGACUAACCACCUUCAAGGGUCCCCUACUGCUGAUGGCAGAGACAACUACAGUCAGCUACUUCUCCAGCCUCCUGCCAGGUGGGCUCUGCUCUGCUAGAGCCCAGGCUCUGGCUGUCUCUGCUCUGAGUGUCCCCUUUCUUCUUCUUACCCCCAGGACACCACCCAGUGUCCAGGGUGCUUGCCCACCUGUGGCUUCUCCACUGGGUCCUGCUGAGAUAUUUUGCUGGAGUCUUUCUAAUAGGAAUGCACUGGUCUCCUGCAUGGAUUUCAUUGGCUUUUCUGAUGAUAAGCUCUUUCCCAGGUACCCAAAAUGUUUCCCAUUGCCACCCAAAUAGCAUCUCUGGCAAAAAUAUAUUUUUUUUUAAAUCUCAUUGUUUUCUUAUUGGUAGAUAAGUCUUUGCAAUGUUGAUGAAGUUCAAUUUAGCAUUUUUUUUUAAUUUGAGUUGUGCUUUUGGUGAUGUCAUUAGGGUUCUUUACCUAACCUGAGUCACAGAUACUUUCUCCCAUGUUUUCUGUAGAAGUUCUUUACUUAGCUAGAUAUUUAUCUGUGAUUCACUUGAAGAUACUUUUUGUGCAAGAUGUGAGGUUCGUUUUCCACAUGCUGAUGUCCAGUGGUUCCAGUAGCAUGUAUUGAAAUGACUUUUAUUUUCAUAUUGCAUUUCAUAGCUACACAUCUCUGGACAAGGUGAUUUAUGUGGACUUUUCAUUUAAUCUUCUCCAACUCUGUGAGGUAUGGGGGUGGAUGUCUCCCAGUCCAUGACAGACAGGGGACCUAAGGCUGGCACAGACCAGGAGACAGAACCAGGGCAGCGUGAGCACCUGCCCAGGCUCACCCAAGCACUAAAAGGCAGACCAGAGCCCACCCACUGUGUGACCAGCCCCACAUCCAGUGCUCCAUCGCAGGUCAUCCCCAUCUUGAGGAGGACACAUGUGGCCAGCCCAAGGCAGCCCUUUGUCCUGUGAGCAUCAGUGCCUCCAAACUUCGCCAGCUCCAGGGAACACCCAGCAAGGCAAGCCCUGUCGCCAGCUCACCAUGCCUCAAUGUCUGAUUGUGCCUUUACCCUAUAAGCCCCUGAGUCACCUCUGCUGGUACAGAUGGCCGGGCUCCCUACCUCCAGACUGUGCAGACCAAGGGCCCAUGGAGAGGAAGAGGGCAGGAACCACGGGCUCCCUUGAAGGUUGAUAGACAUUUGACAAGAAGAAGAAGUGUUCAGACCAAAACAGAGAUGUCCUCCUCCAAAGCCAGGGCCUCACUUUCAACAGAAAGGAAACUGGUCCCAGCCAGGAGAAGCAUCUUGACAUGGCCCCACCCAUAUACAGGUCUUGAUGGAAAGGCCAGAGGACUGGGGUUUUGUUGCAUUUGGGGCUUCCUCGUCCUAUUCUAAACAUUGGUUUUGGACAGCCUGCUGAAGCCCACUCCUGUUUGAUCUAAUCCUUUGUAAGGUCGUGAGCAUCCCAAUGGUCUUGUGUUCCUUUUAAGUUCUCAGUAAAUAAACACAGU
RNAcentral lists this long non-coding RNA (1690 nucleotides) under Marmota monax (woodchuck). Lineage: Eukaryota; Metazoa; Chordata; Mammalia; Rodentia; Sciuridae. The record is from RNAcentral.